GAUGAACGCUGGCGGCGUGCUUAACACAUGCAAGUCGAACGGAAAGGCCCAAGCUUGCUUGGGUACUCGAGUGGCGAACGGGUGAGUAACACGUGGGUGAUCUGCCCUGCACUUCGGGAUAAGCCUGGGAAACUGGGUCUAAUACCGGAUAGGACGAUGUUUUGGAUGCCAUUGUGGAAAGUUUUUUCGGUGUGGGAUGAGCUCGCGGCCUAUCAGCUUGUUGGUGGGGUAAUGGCCUACCAAGGCGUCGACGGGUAGCCGGCCUGAGAGGGUGUACGGCCACAUUGGGACUGAGAUACGGCCCAGACUCCUACGGGAGGCAGCAGUGGGGAAUAUUGCACAAUGGGCGCAAGCCUGAUGCAGCGACGCCGCGUGGGGGAUGACGGCCUUCGGGUUGUAAACUCCUUUCGCUAGGGACGAAGCGUUUUGUGACGGUACCUGGAGAAGAAGCACCGGCUAACUACGUG
RNAcentral lists this ribosomal RNA (467 nucleotides) under uncultured bacterium. RNAcentral describes it as "partial 16S ribosomal RNA". It matches the Rfam family "Bacterial small subunit ribosomal RNA", at positions 28 to 507 of the family's 1533-position model. The record is from RNAcentral.